RNAcentral lists this ribosomal RNA (169 nucleotides) under uncultured bacterium. RNAcentral describes it as "partial 16S ribosomal RNA". It matches the Rfam family "Bacterial small subunit ribosomal RNA", at positions 338 to 524 of the family's 1533-position model. The record is from RNAcentral.
CCUACGGGAGGCAGCAGUAGGGAAUCUUGCGCAAUGGGCGAAAGCCUGACGCAGCCAUGCCGCGUGAAUGAUGAAGGUCUUAGGAUUGUAAAAUUCUUUCACCGGGGACGAUAAUGACGGUACCCGGAGAAUAAGCUCCGGCUAACUUCGUGCCAGCAGCCGCGGUAAU